Molecule: ribosomal RNA, 557 nt
Filed under: uncultured bacterium
Lineage: Bacteria
Description: partial 16S ribosomal RNA
Rfam family: Bacterial small subunit ribosomal RNA
Source: RNAcentral
UGGGGAAUUUUGCACAAUGGGCGAAAGCCUGAUGCAGCAACGCCGCGUGAGUGAUGAAGGCCUUCGGGUUGUAAAGCUCUGUCUUUUGGGACGAUAAUGACGGUACCAAAGGAGGAAGCCACGGCUAACUACGUGCCAGCAGCCGCGGUAAUACGUAGGUGGCAAGCGUUGUCCGGAUUUACUGGGCGUAAAGGAUGCGUAGGCGGAUUUUUAAGUGAGAUGUGAAAACCCUAAGCUUAACUUGGGGACUGCAUUUCAUACUGGAAAUCUAGAGUGCGGGAGAGGAGAAUGGAAUUCCUAGUGUAGCGGUGAAAUGCGUAGAGAUUAGGAAGAACACCAGUGGCGAAGGCGAUUCUCUGGACCGUAACUGACGCUGAGGCAUGAAAGCGUGGGUAGCAAACAGGAUUAGAUACCCUGGUAGUCCACGCCGUAAACGAUGAGUACUAGGUGUAGGAGGUAUCGACCCCUUCUGUGCCGCAGUUAACACAAUAAGUACUCCGCCUGGGAAGUACGAUCGCAAGAUUAAAACUCAAAUGAAUUGACGGGGGUCAUAGCUG